Molecule: unclassified non-coding RNA, 1339 nt
Filed under: Hevea brasiliensis (rubber tree)
Lineage: Eukaryota; Viridiplantae; Streptophyta; Magnoliopsida; Malpighiales; Euphorbiaceae
Source: RNAcentral
AAAAGUGAUUAAUUUAAAUUAUCAAACUACUAUAUAGAGCAUAAAAUUAUUUCCAGGAUUAAAGUACAUUAUAAUACACGUGCUGAACUAAAAUACAUGUGGUAAUACGUUUCAGGUCUUACAUAGAAACAGACUUCAAUAUAUACGCAGAGAGGGAACUUAAUUAACGGCAAUAUAUCUUUAACUGGCUUCUUAAGGCACGCAAAUACAUUAGUCAACUGUCAAACCCAGUGACUUAACAAUGGCUUCAGUAAGUUGCUAUAUUACUGUAUUCACAACCCCCAGUUGCAUUGACAUCUGCCCAUACUUCAUUAACACGCCCGAUGAAAUGGAAUGGAGAAUCAUACUGAGCAAUGGAGUAGGCAAAUUUACUUUCUGCAGAAGUUGUGUUGGUCCAUGGAGACCUGCUCAAACUGUCAGCAAGUUUUUUAGCUUCUGGGACAAUGUUAUCAUCAUUUGCAAAUCCUGAGAAUUUUCUCACAGCAACACAAUGACUGUCCCAAGCAAAGGGUUUCAGGUGCAGUUCAGGAAUAGGGACCGGGGGCUCAUCUUGGAAUUCAGCAGGCAAGUAAAAUAGAACAGAGUAGGCUGACGACUGAAACGGCCCAGCUCCUAGGACUAUACCAGUCACAACAGGAACUGUCAUUGGAAUCCUAGUCCAAUUUAGAUUGGCACCUUGGAUGAACUGGAACAACCUGAAAGGAAAACAACAGGAUAAUAUUACGAAAAUGAAAAAUCAGAAUGCCACUUUAUGGGAAAGUGGAUCUAGGACUAGGAAGGUUAUGCAUUAUAUUCAUCGAAGGUGUGUACAAGAUUAUGCAAUACAGGAAAGUGAAUAAUUCAUUUAAACUUAACAAUCUUAUUGUGCUGCUUGGGAGCAGUUAUCAUGUUUUCAUUGCCAGAUCCAAAUUCUACAAUUAUUGAAAAUCACAACAAAGCUGUUGUUUUUCACUUAAACGAAACAAAUAUUGAUAAUUGGUUUGAAGGGGGAGAAAAGAGUUGCUUCUGUGAAAGCAAGCUUACUUGAGAGAGUAAAUUUCUCUACACCAUCAAAACAAGCUGAGUGCCAUUUUAGCUUGUAUACUUAUUAUUUGUUUUUCCAGAAAGCCUACUUAAUCCAAUGGAAAAAGAUAACUGCCAAUUCUACACGUGAGUGGAAGACAUUGAAUCUCUGAAAUGAAAACAAUGAAGUUUACACCUUGGUGUUCAUAAAAAAUAAAAGAUAUCAUAAAGUGGUCAAUCUAAGAACCUCUGUACAGAAACUAUACUCAGACAGAUGCAUCCAUUUAAGUAUUACACAGAGAAAAUAAACUAAUCAUUUGUAAUAAGAAUUAAAAAA